RNAcentral lists this ribosomal RNA (436 nucleotides) under uncultured fungus. RNAcentral's name for it is "eukaryotic LSU rRNA". It matches the Rfam family "Eukaryotic large subunit ribosomal RNA", at positions 1 to 432 of the family's 3401-position model. The record is from RNAcentral. Lineage: Eukaryota; Fungi.
GACCUCAAAUCGGGUGGGACUACCCGCUGAACUUAAGCAUAUCAAUAAGCGGAGGAAAAGAAACUAACAAGGAUUCCCCUAGUAACGGCGAGUGAAGAGGGAAAAGCUCAAAUUUUGAAUCUGGUGUCUUUGACUCCCGAGUUGUAAUCUAGAGAAGUGUUUUCCGUGUCGGACCGUGCACAAGUUCCCUGGAACGGGGCGUCAUAGAGGGUGAGAAUCCCGUAUAUGGCACGGACUGCCGAUGCUUUUGUGAUACACUCUCAACGAGUCGAGUUGUUUGGGAAUGCAGCUCAAAAUGGGUGGUAAAUUCCAUCUAAAGCUAAAUAUUGGCGAGAGACCGAUAGCGAACAAGUACCGUGAGGGAAAGAUGAAAAGCACUUUGGAAAGAGAGUGAAACAGUACGUGAAAUUGUUGAAAGGGAAGCGUUUGAAGUCAG